RNAcentral lists this long non-coding RNA (1512 nucleotides) under Bos indicus x Bos taurus (hybrid cattle). RNAcentral describes it as "lncRNA (ENSBIXG00000000869.1)". Lineage: Eukaryota; Metazoa; Chordata; Mammalia; Artiodactyla; Bovidae. The record is from RNAcentral.
CGGUCAUCCGUAAGGGAGGUCACCGGCCACAUUCCUCGGGCAGCUGACCCUGUCAGUCUUUGGAAAUACUGUUUACUCUGUAACUAAAGUUGGAUCCUGGGCACAAGUCACCAAAACGAAAUUUUAAGAGGCGUAAACCUCAUCCCCACUGAGACCUCUUCAUGAAAACAGGAGUUGUGAAGGUUCCCUAGAUGAUUUCUUGGUAAGAAUUCUCAGCAACUGUAGAGAUCUGGAGUCCAGAGUUGAAAAGUUUUACAAUAUAGCCAAUUAUCUAAUUUUUAGUGUACUGAUAAAAAUUCUUUAAGCUUCCUUAUGGACACAAAUGACAGAUGAGGAAAAGUUUACUGAAAAUGGAGUUUCUCUUCUGUUUGCUUCAACUGGAUUUUUUAAAGUAAGGUUGAAAGUCCUCCAGAAAUGAAAUGACAAUUGAUCCAGAGAAGUUCAAUAAUUUGACAAUGACUGGAGGCACAGGAGAUCACGUCACUGUGCUGGUGCAGACAGCUUCCCAGAUGGACCGCACCAUCUACUGUCAGGAGCUUGGAGAGAAGUGAACAGAAUUCUGUACAGCAACACACCAAAGCAGGCUGAACCUGAGAAGUGCUGAAUUCGGAGAGUAAAUGAUGUGCGUUGAGAGCCAAAGAAGGAGACCACUUUGGUUAGGACAUUGGAGGUGAUUCCUCGAAGACUGGAGCUGGGUCACCCUAGUCCUUGCUGGUAAAAGUGGUCUUUGAACAGCAACAUGGACCUCACGUGGGGACUUGUGAAAAAUUCAGAAUCUCAGAUGCCAGGCCAGACCUACAGAGUCAGAAUCGGCCAUUUUGACAAGACCCCCAGAUGAUUCCUGUGGGCAUUAAAGUUUGAGAACCACUGAUUUCACUACUUUUGGAAUUGAUAGAGCUACAUGGGCCUAUUUCUCUUCAUCCUGUUCACAGCACCAACUGUCUCACUGUUCACACCGUCCGCACCCGGGUAGGCAAGGCGUGAGCUAAGAGGCCGGAAGAAGACCCGAGGAGCUGGAGGAGCUGCAGACGCAUUUAUUCUCUUCCGGCUGACACAGCAGCCGUACCAGUAUUCUCUCCUGACUCACGCGGCCGCGGUCGCAUUCACUCACGCGGCCGCGGUCGCAUUCACGCUGUAGUCUCGCCUCUCAUGGCCAACCCGAGGGACACGGCCCUGAUGCAGCAGUAAUUCCCGCUGCUUUUUGGGUAGCGCUCUUAUCUCCCUACAGCCCAAAGUAACUCACGACAGUGCAGGGUUAUAAAUGAGCUCAGCUGUUAGUCAUUAUUUACAAAAUGUGGGGCAAGAGCGAAAAGCCAGGGGGCAGGAGAGCCCGACACGCCAUCUUGGCUAAUUUGCUCUUUCCUUACAAGGGGUAAUGUAAUGGAGGCCAGACUAUGAAAGGGUGCUUGAGGAGAGGCCGGUAGGCUUGGAGAAUUUACAGAGUACAUAGGAGGAUUUAUGUCUGCUACUAACAGUAGAAAUAAAAACUCCACGACCACUUACUAUGAGCCA